Molecule: transfer RNA, 59 nt
Filed under: Stackebrandtia endophytica
Lineage: Bacteria; Bacillati; Actinomycetota; Actinomycetes; Glycomycetales; Glycomycetaceae
Rfam family: tRNA
About the family: Transfer RNA (tRNA) molecules are approximately 80 nucleotides in length. Their secondary structure includes four short double-helical elements and three loops (D, anti-codon, and T loops).
Source: Rfam by way of RNAcentral
GGUUAACCGGGGUGACAACGGCGGACUUUUAAUCCGUAGGUUCCGGGUUCGAGCCCCGG